Molecule: long non-coding RNA, 402 nt
Filed under: Cricetulus griseus (Chinese hamster)
Lineage: Eukaryota; Metazoa; Chordata; Mammalia; Rodentia; Cricetidae
Description: lncRNA (ENSCGRG00015033816.1)
Source: RNAcentral
CCCCUCCCGACUGCCACCCUUGCAAACUCCAGACUCCAGUACCAAACAGAAACCCAGCUCCUACUUUGUUGCUUUGUUGUUGGGGGUUCUGCUACUCUCGGGUUCCAGAAUGAGGAAAACCUGGUUGCCACAUGUUCAGUUUGCCUAUAAUACAUAGGCCCUAAAUGCCAAGUUUACUGUGUGUCUGGCAGUUGAUAGUGACAAAAGACCAACACAUGAUUCUUGGGCUGUCUAAUUAUCAGCUGACUAGGAAAGGAACAGAUCUCUUUUUUGAAAUUAUGGACAUCUGGCUGGCCUUUGUAUUUCCUGAAGAUGCUAUGAUGAUUGCCAUGGAGGAAAAAUCAUGAACUGUCUUUCCCACCUGUGAACCCUGUAACCUACAAAAACAACUGGCCUGGCAAA